AAACUAACAAGGAUUCCCCUAGUAACGGCGAGUGAAGCGGGAAGAGCUCAAAUUUGUAAUCUGGGCAGCCUUCGGCUGUCCGAGUUGUAAUCUAUAGAGACGUUUUCCGUGCCGGCCCAUGUACAAGUCCCUUGGAACAGGGCGUCAUAGAGGGUGAGAAUCCCGUUCUUGACAUGGACUCCCGGUGCUCUGUGAUACGUUUUCAAAGAGUCGAGUUGUUUGGGAAUGCAGCUCAAAAUGGGUGGUGAAUUCCAUCUAAAGCUAAAUAUUGGCGAGAGACCGAUAGCGAACAAGUACCGUGAGGGAAAGAUGAAAAGCACUUUUGGAAAGAGAGUUAAACAGUAUGUGAAAUUGUUAAAAGGGAAACGAUUGAAGUCAAUCAUGUCCUUGAGGGGCAACCCUCUUGGAUGGGGUCAACAUCAGUUUUGACCGCCGGAUAAGGGCAAGAGCAAGGUAGCACUCUCGGGUGAACUUAUAGGCUCUUGUCGCAUACGGUGGUGGAGACUGAGGACUGCUAUUACAGGAUGUUGACAUAAUGGCUUUAAACGACCCGUCUUGAAACACGGACCAAGGAGUCUAACAUAUCUGCGAGUAUUUGGGGUGUCAAACCCGAGUGCGCAA
This 621-nucleotide ribosomal RNA is filed under the name Cryptococcus sp. CRUB 1310. RNAcentral describes it as "eukaryotic LSU rRNA". It matches the Rfam family "Eukaryotic large subunit ribosomal RNA", at positions 62 to 719 of the family's 3401-position model. The record is from RNAcentral. Lineage: Eukaryota; Fungi; Basidiomycota; Tremellomycetes; Tremellales; Cryptococcaceae. RNAcentral also lists the same sequence under 1 other name.